This 74-nucleotide transfer RNA is filed under the name Endomicrobium sp. RNAcentral's name for it is "tRNA-Arg". It matches the Rfam family "tRNA". From Rfam's summary of the family: Transfer RNA (tRNA) molecules are approximately 80 nucleotides in length. Their secondary structure includes four short double-helical elements and three loops (D, anti-codon, and T loops). Further hydrogen bonds mediate the characteristic L-shaped molecular structure. tRNAs have two regions of fundamental functional importance: the anti-codon, which is responsible for specific mRNA codon recognition, and the 3' end, to which the tRNAs corresponding amino acid is attached (by aminoacyl-tRNA synthetases). tRNAs cope with the degeneracy of the genetic code in two manners: having more than one tRNA (with a specific anti-codon) for a particular amino acid; and 'wobble' base-pairing, i.e. permitting non-standard base-pairing at the 3rd anti-codon position. The record is from RNAcentral. Lineage: Bacteria; Pseudomonadati; Elusimicrobiota; Endomicrobiia; Endomicrobiales; Endomicrobiaceae.
GUCUCCGUAGCUCAACUGGAUAGAGCAACUGCCUUCUAAGCAGUAGAUUGUGUGUUCAAAUCACACCGGAGACG